GAUGAACGCUGGCGGCGUGCUUAACACAUGCAAGUCGAUCGGAAAGGCCCAAGCUUGCUUGGGUACUCGAGUGGCGAACGGGUGAGUAACACGUGGGUGAUCUGCCCUGCACUUCGGGAUAAGCCUGGGAAACUGGGUCUAAUACCGGAUAGGACCACAUUUUGGAUGGUGUGGUGGAAAGUUUUUCGGUGUGGGAUGAGCUCGCGGCCUAUCAGCUUGUUGGUGGGGUAAUGGCCUACCAAGGCGUCGACGGGUAGCCGGCCUGAGAGGGUGUACGGCCACAUUGGGACUGAGAUACGGCCCAGACUCCUACGGGAGGCAGCAGUGGGGAAUAUUGCACAAUGGGCGCAAGCCUGAGGCAGCGACGCUGCGUGGGGGAUGACGGCCUUCGGGUUGUAAACUCCUUUCGCUAGGGACGAAGCGUUUUUGUGACGGUACCUGGAGAAGAAGCACCGGCUAACUACGUG
Molecule: ribosomal RNA, 467 nt
Filed under: uncultured bacterium
Lineage: Bacteria
Description: partial 16S ribosomal RNA
Rfam family: Bacterial small subunit ribosomal RNA
Source: RNAcentral